UAGUUAAUCAGAAUUGAAUCACUAGACCGUUUCUGACUUCAGCAGUGAAGUAUGUCGUUUAAUUCGAUAAUCCACGAAAAAUCUUACCGCAAUUUGAAUAAAUAAAAAAGUGAAAAUUUUUUAAUUUUACAGGAGUUGCACGGCUGUUUCCAGUUAAUAUUGUGAAAUAAAGAGAUAAAUUAACGAAAUCCCUCGCUUUAUUUUUAAGAGUACUUUAGGGUACUAUUUAUAUUCAAAUAAGCCAGCCAGCAUAGCUGGCUGGCUUAUUAAUAUGAAUGUUAAUAAGGUUUCUUCUUUGUAAAAGGGAACAAGACAAGUCAUCAUGGCCCUAAUAUUGCGGGCUAUAUGACGUGCCACAUAUUUCUAUACAAAAAGAUGCAAAAAUGUGAGUUUGAGCUAAUCUUUAAAAUAGAAUAUAAACAUAUGGAUUGUAGUCUGAAAUUCGACUAUAUGAAUAAGUAAUUGCUAGUAAUCGCGAAUCACCAUGUCGCGGUGAAUUGAACCUCGGAUUGGUACUAACCACUCGUCACAUGCUGAAAGAAGUUUCAUCGCAAUAAGUUUGCUCUUUUGAUACAAUACUGUUAUUUUUUUGAAUUUAAUUUCUUGUAUUGGAAUUCACCGCAUGCGUGGCUUUAAUUAGUGUUAAGUCGAAAUACGGUUCGGGUAGUGGAAGUUGCCCGGG
RNAcentral lists this non-coding RNA (682 nucleotides) under Ceratocystis platani. RNAcentral's name for it is "Bacterial small subunit ribosomal RNA". It matches the Rfam family "Bacterial small subunit ribosomal RNA", at positions 886 to 1520 of the family's 1533-position model. The record is from Rfam by way of RNAcentral. Lineage: Eukaryota; Fungi; Ascomycota; Sordariomycetes; Microascales; Ceratocystidaceae.